CCUACGGGUGGCAGCAGUGAGGAAUCUUGGUCAAUGGCCGGAAGGCUGAACCAGCCACGCCGCGUGAAGGACGAAGGUGCCCAGCAUUGUAAACUUCUUUUGUCAAGGGACAAAAUCAGGCUCGAGAGCCUGACCGAGGGUACUUGAAGCAAAAGCAUCGGCUAACUCCGUGCCAGCCGCCGAGGUAAUACGGGGGAUGCGAGCGUUAUCCGGUUUUAUUGGGUUUAAAGGGUGCGUAGUCGGACUGUUACGUCAGCGUUAAAAGCCCGGGGCUCAACCCCGGCGAGCCGUUGAACCUGGCUGUCUUGAGAGGUGGAGAGGUAUGCGGAAUGCGAAGUGUAGCGGGGAAAUGCGUAGAUAUUGCGCAGAACUCCGAUGGCGAAGGCAGCAUACCGGCGGCGAUCUGACGCUGAGGCACGAAAGCGUGGGUAUCGAACAGGAUUAGAUACCCGAGUAGUC
Molecule: ribosomal RNA, 459 nt
Filed under: uncultured bacterium
Lineage: Bacteria
Description: partial 16S ribosomal RNA
Rfam family: Bacterial small subunit ribosomal RNA
Source: RNAcentral